AAAAAGGGCUUCUGUUGUGAGUGACACAUGUAUGCCAACUCAUUUGUUCUGUAUAGACUCGACACCAAGAGAUUUUUAAAGCAUAAUUUUUUUGGUAGUUGGGCAGCUAGUGUUCAU
Molecule: small nuclear RNA, 117 nt
Organism: Heterocephalus glaber (naked mole-rat)
Lineage: Eukaryota; Metazoa; Chordata; Mammalia; Rodentia; Bathyergidae
Source: Ensembl